GUACAUUUUGCGGUAAUGGCAACUGAACACAUAGUGGGAUUCAAGGACAUAAUUCUGCAAACACCACACACACCUUUGAAAUUACUUCUUGAAAAAGGAAUUCCAGGUGUGUCACAUCAGAGAUUUUCACAAUGGUUAAUAGCUCUAUCACCAAAGCAAAUUAAGGUAGAACAUAAGGCAAAGUAUGUACUUCCACAACUAAUGCAAUAUGAGGGUAAACCCCAUGAAUGUUUAGCAGAAGUUGAAGAGAAUUUUCUCUCUCUUUUCAGAAAGGAAGCAAGUGAAUCUGAUGAACCUGUGUUUGUUGACGGGUCCAGAUUCUGUUCCGAUGGGAAGUACUAUACAGGUUAUGCUAUAUGGUAUCCAAAAUGAG
This is a non-coding RNA of Pelobates cultripes (western spadefoot toad), 373 nucleotides long. NCBI's taxonomy places the organism in Eukaryota, Metazoa, Chordata, Amphibia, Anura, Pelobatidae. The record is from the annotation of a GenBank genome assembly.